This 253-nucleotide ribosomal RNA is filed under the name uncultured bacterium. RNAcentral describes it as "partial 16S ribosomal RNA". It matches the Rfam family "Bacterial small subunit ribosomal RNA", at positions 524 to 776 of the family's 1533-position model. The record is from RNAcentral.
UACAGAGGAUGCGAGCGUUAAUCGGAAUUACUGGGCGUAAAGCGCGCGUAGGCGGUUUGUUAAGUCAGCUGUGAAAGCCCCGGGCUCAACCUGGGAACUGCAGUUGAUACUGGCCGACUGGAGUGCGAGAGAGGGAGGUAGAAUUCCAUGUGUAGCGGUGAAAUGCGUAGAUAUAUGGAGGAAUACCGGUGGCGAAGGCGGCCUCCUGGCUCGACACUGACGCUGAGGUGCGAAGGCGUGGGGAUCAAACAGG